UCAGCUCAGGAUGAGGCCCCCUGCCCAGCUCCUGGGGCUGCUGCUGCUCUGGAUCCCUGGCACUCGUGGGGAUGUAGUGAUGACCCAAAGUCCACCUUCACUGUCCAUCACCCCUGGACAGCCGGCCUCCAUCUCCUGCAGGUCCAGUCAGAGCCUCCUGGGUAGCGAUGGGAACACCUAUCUGCGUUGGUUCCUGCAGAAGCCAGGCCAGGCCCCAAAGCUCCUGAUUUAUCGAGUCUCCAACAGGUUCUCUGGGGUCUCAGACAGGUUCAGUGGCAGUGGGGCAGGCACAGACUUCACCCUGAAAAUCAGCAGCGUGCAGGCCGAGGACGCUGGAGUGUAUUACUGCAUGCAAGCUACACAUGUGCCUCCCACAGUGAUGCAGCCCUGAACAGAAACCCCUCAG
Octodon degus (degu) is the source of this 406-nucleotide non-coding RNA. The record is from the annotation of a RefSeq genome assembly. Lineage: Eukaryota; Metazoa; Chordata; Mammalia; Rodentia; Octodontidae.